RNAcentral lists this non-coding RNA (104 nucleotides) under Lysinibacillus sphaericus. RNAcentral's name for it is "Lysinibacillus sp. SAM-I sequence". It matches the Rfam family "SAM riboswitch aptamer (S box leader)". From Rfam's summary of the family: The SAM riboswitch is found upstream of a number of genes which code for proteins involved in methionine or cysteine biosynthesis in Gram-positive bacteria. The SAM riboswitch acts at the level of transcription termination control. Lineage: Bacteria; Bacillati; Bacillota; Bacilli; Caryophanales; Bacillaceae. The record is from RNAcentral. RNAcentral also lists the same sequence under 1 other name.
UCCUUAUAAAGAGUUCGGGGGAGGAACUGGUCCUAUGAUCCCGCAGCAACCGGUGGUAUACACAAAGGUGCUAAGUCCAGCAAGCCAAGCUUGAAAGAUGAGGA